Molecule: ribosomal RNA, 486 nt
Filed under: uncultured bacterium
Lineage: Bacteria
Description: partial 16S ribosomal RNA
Rfam family: Bacterial small subunit ribosomal RNA
Source: RNAcentral
GAUGAACGCUGGCGGCGUGCCUAAUACAUGCAAGUCGAACGCUGGAGAUCUAGCUUGCUAGAUCGAAGGAGUGGCGAACGGGUGAGUAAUACAUAAGCAACCUACCCACGAAGACUGGGAUAAUCUCUGGAAACGGGGACUAAUACCGGAUAGGUAAUCGGAAGGCAUCUUCUGGUUAUUAAAGGUUAAAAACACUGGUGGAUGGGCUUAUGGCGCAUUAGUUAGUUGGUGAGGUAACGGCCCACCAAGACGAUGAUGCGUAGCCGGCCUGAGAGGGUGAACGGCCACAUUGGGACUGAGGCACGGCCCAGACUCCUACGGGAGGCAGCAGUAGGGAAUUUUCGGCAAUGGGGGCAACCCUGACCGAGCAACGCCGCGUGAGUGAAGACGGCCUUCGGGUUGUAAAGCUCUGUUGUAAGGGAAGAACGGUAGAUAGAGAAUAUCUAAGUGACGGUACCUUACCAGAAAGCCACGGCUAACUACGUG